Molecule: transfer RNA, 57 nt
Filed under: Oxyrrhis marina
Lineage: Eukaryota; Dinophyceae; Oxyrrhinales; Oxyrrhinaceae
Source: RNAcentral
GUGUCCCAGUGGUAGCACACCAGGCUCACACGCCGCAGGUCGCGAGUUCAAGCCCGG